GGGGAUUUAGCUCAGUGGUAGAGCGCUUGCCUAGGAAGCGCAAGGCCCUGGGUUCGGUUCCCAGCUUCG
RNAcentral lists this transfer RNA (69 nucleotides) under Rattus norvegicus (Norway rat). It matches the Rfam family "tRNA". From Rfam's summary of the family: Transfer RNA (tRNA) molecules are approximately 80 nucleotides in length. Their secondary structure includes four short double-helical elements and three loops (D, anti-codon, and T loops). Further hydrogen bonds mediate the characteristic L-shaped molecular structure. tRNAs have two regions of fundamental functional importance: the anti-codon, which is responsible for specific mRNA codon recognition, and the 3' end, to which the tRNAs corresponding amino acid is attached (by aminoacyl-tRNA synthetases). tRNAs cope with the degeneracy of the genetic code in two manners: having more than one tRNA (with a specific anti-codon) for a particular amino acid; and 'wobble' base-pairing, i.e. permitting non-standard base-pairing at the 3rd anti-codon position. Lineage: Eukaryota; Metazoa; Chordata; Mammalia; Rodentia; Muridae. The record is from Rfam by way of RNAcentral.